GACGAACGCUGGCGGCGUGCUUAACACAUGCAAGUCGAACGGACAGGCCCUGCUUUUGUGGGGUGCUCGAGUGGCGAACGGGUGAGUAACACGUGAGUAACCUGCCCUUGACUUUGGGAUAACUUCAGGAAACUGGGGCUAAUACCGGAUAUGAUCUCCUGCUGCAUGGUGGGGGUUGGAAAGUUUCGGCGGUUGGGGCUGGACUCGCGGCUUAUCAGCUUGUUGGUGGGGUAGUGGCUUACCAAGGCUUUGACGGGUAGCCGGCCUGAGAGGGUGACCGGCCACAUUGGGACUGAGAUACGGCCCAGACUCCUACGGGAGGCAGCAGUGGGGAAUAUUGCACAAUGGGCGGAAGCCUGAUGCAGCAACGCCGCGUGCGGGAUGACGGCCUUCGGGUUGUAAACCGCUUUCGCCUGUGACGAAGCGUGAGUGACGGUAAUGGGUAAAGAAGCACCGGCUAACUACGUG
RNAcentral lists this ribosomal RNA (468 nucleotides) under uncultured bacterium. RNAcentral's name for it is "partial 16S ribosomal RNA". It matches the Rfam family "Bacterial small subunit ribosomal RNA", at positions 28 to 507 of the family's 1533-position model. The record is from RNAcentral.